GUACGCUGGCGGCACGCCUAACACAUGCAAGUCGAACGCAGUAGCAAUACUGAGUGGCAAACGGGUGAGUAUAAUGUGGGAAUCUGCCUUUUGGUUUGGAAUAACACGGGGAAACUUGUGCUAAUACCGAAUAAGCCCUUACGGGGAAAGUUUUAACGCCGAAAGAUGAGCCUGCACUUGAUUAGCUAGUUGGUAAGGUAAAAGCUUACCAAGGCAACGAUCAAUAGCUGUUCUUAGAGGAAGACCAGCCACAUUGGGACUGAGACACGGCCCAGACUCCUACGGGAGGCAGCAGUGGGGAAUCUUGCACAAUGGGGGAAACCCUGAUGCAGCGAUGCCGCGUGAGUGAAGAAGGCCCUUGGGUUGUAAAACUCUUUCGUCGGGGAAGAAAAUGACUGUACCCGAAUAAGAAGGUCCGGC
RNAcentral lists this ribosomal RNA (420 nucleotides) under uncultured bacterium. Its description in RNAcentral is "bacterial SSU rRNA". It matches the Rfam family "Bacterial small subunit ribosomal RNA", at positions 31 to 497 of the family's 1533-position model. The record is from RNAcentral.